UGCAGCGCUGGAGAAGAAGAAGAAGAAGAAGAGAGGAGGCGCUGCUUUGAUGAUGAGGAGUAGAGGUGCAGCGCUGGAGAUAAAAAAAAGGAAAGGGAAUUUUCUAGAUGGUUUGGGUCGAACCGAUUCGAUUCGGUUCGAUUCGACCCAAUUCUUUGAUUUUCGAUUGGUUUUCGGCUUUUUCAAUCGGUUUUCGGUUCGGUUUCUCACAGUGUUCGCAUUAAAAUAUUGAAAUAAAUUUCCAGACUGUCGGUUUAUUAAAUUUAAUUGGAAAAUCUUUGAAAAUAAAAAUUCGGAUUGUUUCAGUCUUCCCUCUUAAAAAAAUUCGUCCUCGAAUUUUGAAAAUAACAAUAAACUAGGAUACAAUAAUUGUUUACGACAAUGGUGGUUAUGCUUCUCACAUAAAGUUGCAAGUUCGUUAGUCAGAGUGGUGAAUCUAAUUUUUUUCUUAAAUUUAUUAAUUAAGACAAACCAAUGAACAGACCAGGGAAGAAAAUCUAAUUUAUAGAGAGGGUAAGAUGAUUAUAAGAUAAAUCCAUCCCUAAAGUUAUCUACCUUAUCACCAUAGUUAAUUUAAACGUAAAUUAUACUAUGUCUACAAGUUGUCCCCUCAAGUCAAAUAUUCAUAACUUAAAGCACAGAUUCGACACUAAUAUUCACCUUUACACGUAAGAAUUUCAUUCACUGAUAACAUCUGCUCAAGUAAGGGUUAUUGAUCUCAUUAGCUCUAUAUCAUGUGUCCUUACAUUGAUGUAUCGUCAUUUAUUCUCUCACUAGCUAUCAUAGGCAAUGAUCAUCACUCCAUAAGAAACUCAUACACCAACUCAGUAUGUAAUCUUACUGAUAUAAGAAUCCACAUAUUCAAUCAAAUUUAUUACUAUUCCAAUUUGGACUCCUUAUUUUAAAAUUCAAAACCUACAUGCCGACUCAAUCCAUUUUGCAUCAAUUCCAAUUCCAUAUAUUUGCCCUCAUAAUCAUUGAAGUUGUUCAUAACUAAAUAAGAUGAUUGCUGCCAACUCAAGAAAGUUUUCGAUUAUUAUCAAAUUCUGCCAUUAAGUGCUAUUUGAAUCAUUUCCAAUUAAAGAGAACAAAUUCUUGCCACUACUACAAGCUUAUUUCAAAUAGAAUCAAGACAUUUCUCUAGCUAAGUGCUAUCAACUGAUAGGAUAUACUGACUUCUAUCCCAAUCUCAUCACAUAUUUAUCAACUUAACUAUUUUCCAACAAAAGAUAUAAAAUUUAUUCUCAAUUCCUACUAAUAAGAAUUCUCAUAAAAACAAAUAAUACAUCGACUAUAUAGAGAAAAUUUCAAUUCACAAUCAAGUCUCUAUUUUAGUUAUUAACCUCUCUAUCCUUCUUCCCGAAUUAUCAUAUCAUACCAUUUCUUAACUAAUUAUGACAACAACUUAUGCAACUAGCCAAAUUAGUUGUUGCCAUGCCGAAUAAUUCUUAAUUUAUUUUCUAAAAUUCGCAAACACAGUUCUAUUAUACUCCAUUCCAUCAUGAAAUCCAGUCUACAUUUUUUUUUUUUACAAGCUUAAUCAAGAUGUAAAAUUCUCCAAACCGUAAUUUAUAUCCAAUUUACCUAGGUCUACGUAUCCAGAAAUCCUAAACAAGUAUUGCCUUUGCUCUAGCUAAGUAUGAGAUUAAGGAUAUUAAACCUAUAAUCUAAUUCCUGAUUACACUAUGUCCAUUGUUUUAUAUUUAUUUAAAUACUCGCGUGUAUACUUCUCACUAAAUUAGCUAAAAUUAUUCCAAACCUACUUGUUUGCUCUUACACAAAUUUUCAAUAUCCCAAACAAAUAGUAAAUUAAAACAGCUAGCUUACUAAUAAAUGAAAAUACUCUAAUUACCUUUACGUUCUACUAAGGACAUAAAUAUAAUUUUCCUUCUUUAUCCAAUAAAACAAGUAACUUGCAAAAGUUGCACUAAUUAAUAGAAUUUCCUUAUAAAUUUAUUCUCAAUUCCUACUAAUAAGAAUUCUCAUAAAAACAAAUAAUACAUCGACUAUAUAGAGAAAAUUUCAAUUCACAAUCAAGUCUCUAUUUUAGUUAUUAACCUCUCUAUCCUUCUUCCCGAAUUAUCAUAUCAUACCAUUUCUUAACUAAUUAUGACAACAACUUAUGCAACUAGCCAAAUUAGUUGUUGCCAUGCCGAAUAAUUCUUAAUUUAUUUUCUAAAAUUCGCAAACACAGUUCUAUUAUACUCCAUUCCAUCAUGAAAUCCAGUCUACAUUUUUUUUACGUUCUACUAAGGACAUAAAUAUAAUUUUCCUUCUUUAUCCAAUAAAACAAGUAACUUGCAAAAGUUGCACUAAUUAAUAGAAUUUCCUUAUUUUAAUUGCUUUACGUCAAGAGAUUGAAUUUAUUCACAUUCGUUGUCAUCUCAAACUAAGCCCCAUGAUCCUUUAUCAACUCUUAUUCCCACUCAUUACUAUUUUCCAACUAGAUGUUAUCAAAUUACAUAAGUCAAAAUUUUCUUAUCUCUCUCUCCAGUAGAAAGUCUAUCUUUCUUUUUGAAUAUAAGUACUAAGUUCUUUCAUCAUCGGGAUUAUAAUCCUUAAAUCAUUUAUCUAUUUGUAUAUCACCAGACAUUCAAUAAC
Molecule: long non-coding RNA, 2601 nt
Filed under: Jatropha curcas
Lineage: Eukaryota; Viridiplantae; Streptophyta; Magnoliopsida; Malpighiales; Euphorbiaceae
Description: long non-coding RNA (JCUR_LNC001655)
Source: RNAcentral